Molecule: long non-coding RNA, 442 nt
Filed under: Crocodylus porosus (Australian saltwater crocodile)
Lineage: Eukaryota; Metazoa; Chordata; Crocodylia; Crocodylidae
Description: lncRNA (ENSCPRG00005001943.1)
Source: RNAcentral
UAUCCGCGGUGCAACUGGGUGCGCACGCACCCGGCGUUUCCCGCCGCUCGCAGCGCCCACCCCACACGGCAGUUGCGGGGGUGGGGCCGGGGUUCGGUCCCGCACGGCCCCGGACACGCGCAGCACUCGGGGGUCUCCCGCUGCACAGGCCAGAGCCCUGCCCUGGCUCCUCCUAGGAGGGGAGCACAGCCUCCCCCCGCCCAGCAACGAGGCAGAAGCCGGCCCUGAUUCUCAGUCCGUUUUCCAGAGUCGCUUUUCACCCCAGGCCAGGCUGCCAGCCCUGAAUGAGGUGGGCCGGAGACUGAGCGGCCCUGUCGAAAAUAAGUAUUUGUUAAGCCUGCCUCCUAAUACAGUAGGAAGAACAAAGGGGACAUGCUUCUCACCCCACCAGCCUUCAGAGAGAUUAAGGAAACUUGAUUGGAAAGUUACCAUGUGUUUGUAG